RNAcentral lists this ribosomal RNA (505 nucleotides) under uncultured bacterium. Its description in RNAcentral is "partial 16S ribosomal RNA". It matches the Rfam family "Bacterial small subunit ribosomal RNA", at positions 28 to 507 of the family's 1533-position model. The record is from RNAcentral.
GACGAACGCUGGCGGCGUGCCUAAUACAUGCAAGUAGAACGCACAGUUUAUACCGUAGCUUGCUACACCAUAGACUGUGAGUUGCGAACGGGUGAGUAACGCGUAGGUAACCUGCCUGGUAGCGGGGGAUAACUAUUGGAAACGAUAGCUAAUACCGCAUAAUAUUAAUUAUUGCAUGAUAAUUAAUUGAAAGGUGCAAUUGCACCACUACCAGAUGGACCUGCGUUGUAUUAGCUAGUAGGUGAGGUAACGGCUCACCUAGGCGACGAUACAUAGCCGACCUGAGAGGGUGAUCGGCCACACUGGGACUGAGACACGGCCCAGACUCCUACGGGAGGCAGCAGUAGGGAAUCUUCCGCAAUGGACGAAAGUCUGACCGAGCAACGCCGCGUGAGUGAAGAAGGUUUUCGGAUCGUAAAGCUCUGUUGUAAGAGAAGAACGGGUGUGAGAGUGGAAAGUUCACACUGUGACGGUAUCUUACCAGAAAGGGACGGCUAACUACGUG